Non-coding RNA from Phrynosoma platyrhinos (Desert horned lizard), 70 nucleotides. The record is from the annotation of a GenBank genome assembly. NCBI's taxonomy places the organism in Eukaryota, Metazoa, Chordata, Lepidosauria, Squamata, Phrynosomatidae.
GCCAGAGUAGUGUAGUGGUUUAAGCAUUGGGCUAGGACCCCAGACCAGGGUUCAAAUCCCCAUUCAGCCA